Molecule: ribosomal RNA, 460 nt
Filed under: uncultured bacterium
Lineage: Bacteria
Description: partial 16S ribosomal RNA
Rfam family: Bacterial small subunit ribosomal RNA
Source: RNAcentral
CCUACGGGUGGCUGCAGUGAGGAAUAUUGGUCAAUGGACGAGAGUCUGAACCAGCCAAGUAGCGUGAAGGAUGACUGCCCUAUGGGUUGUAAACUUCUUUUAUAUGGGAAUAAAACGUUCCACGUGUGGGAUUUUGUAUGUACCAUAUGAAUAAGGAUCGGCUAACUCCGUGCCAGCAGCCGCGGUAAUACGGAGGAUCCGAGCGUUAUCCGGAUUUAUUGGGUUUAAAGGGAGCGUAGGUGGAUUGUUAAGUCAGUUGUGAAAGUUUGCGGCUCAACCGUAAAAUUGCAGUUGAAACUGGCAGUCUUGAGUACAGUAGAGGUGUGCGGAAUUCGUGGUGUAGCGGUGAAAUGCUUAGAUAUCACGAAGAACUCCGAUUGCGAAGGCAGUUCACUGGACUGCAACUGACACUGAGGCUCGAAAGUGUGGGUAUCAAACAGGAUUAGAUACCCUUGUAGUC